AUUGAACGCUGGCGGCAUGCCUUACACAUGCAAGUCGAACGGCAGCGCGGGAGCAAUCCUGGCGGCGAGUGGCGAACGGGUGAGUAAUAUAUCGGAACGUGCCCAGUAGUGGGGGAUAGCCCGGCGAAAGCCGGAUUAAUACCGCAUACGACCUGAGGGUGAAAGCGGGGGAUCGCAAGACCUCGCGCUAUUGGAGCGGCCGAUAUCAGAUUAGCUAGUUGGUGGGGUAAAGGCCUACCAAGGCAACGAUCUGUAGUUGGUCUGAGAGGACGACCAGCCACACUGGGACUGAGACACGGCCCAGACUCCUACGGGAGGCAGCAGUGGGGAAUUUUGGACAAUGGGCGCAAGCCUGAUCCAGCAAUGCCGCGUGCAGGAAGAAGGCCUCGG
RNAcentral lists this ribosomal RNA (390 nucleotides) under uncultured bacterium. RNAcentral's name for it is "bacterial SSU rRNA". It matches the Rfam family "Bacterial small subunit ribosomal RNA", at positions 29 to 420 of the family's 1533-position model. The record is from RNAcentral.